RNAcentral lists this long non-coding RNA (319 nucleotides) under Solanum tuberosum (potato). RNAcentral describes it as "long non-coding RNA (STUB_LNC010128)". The record is from RNAcentral. Lineage: Eukaryota; Viridiplantae; Streptophyta; Magnoliopsida; Solanales; Solanaceae.
AUGAAAUUAACUGUUGAGAAAAAAAUCAUGUGACUAAGAAAAUUAAUUUACAUAGAGAAAAAUAAGUAUGACUUGUUCAAUAUGAGAAAUAAGCACUUUUUGGUAUACAGUCAGAAGCAAAAAGUGAUUGUAUUCCAAUUUAAAUGAAUACAACAUAAUUGAAGAGGAACAGAGUAUAUUUGAUCGAUUUUGCGUUUUUGUAUUCGAAUUUGCUUGGCUUUCGAUUUUGUAACAACCAGAGUGUAAAUUUGCAACAAAAAGAUUUUUAGGGAGUGAUUUCAGCUAAUUUACUAUAACAGAAAAGAUCAGUUCCUUGUUU